UACGUAGGGGGCAAGCGUUGUCCGAAUUUAUUGGGCGUAAAGAGCGUGUAGGCGGCCAAACAGGUCAGCUGUGAAAACUCGAGGCUCAACCUCGAGACGUCGGUUGAAACCGUUUGGCUAGAGUCCGGAAGAGGAGCACGGAAUUCCUGGUGUAGCGGUGAAAUGCGCAGAUAUCAGGAGGAACACCAGCGGCGAAGGCGGUGCUCUGGGCCGGAACUGACGCUGAGGAGCGAAAGCGUGGGGAGCGAACAGG
RNAcentral lists this ribosomal RNA (253 nucleotides) under uncultured bacterium. RNAcentral's name for it is "partial 16S ribosomal RNA". It matches the Rfam family "Bacterial small subunit ribosomal RNA", at positions 524 to 776 of the family's 1533-position model. The record is from RNAcentral.